CCUUUGCGUUUGGUCUCAGAGCCCCACUGU
This 30-nucleotide non-coding RNA is filed under the name Homo sapiens (human). The record is from RNAcentral. Lineage: Eukaryota; Metazoa; Chordata; Mammalia; Primates; Hominidae.